Molecule: ribosomal RNA, 270 nt
Filed under: uncultured prokaryote
Description: partial 16S ribosomal RNA
Rfam family: Archaeal small subunit ribosomal RNA
Source: RNAcentral
UACCAGCGCCACAAGUGGGGGCCGUGUUUAUUGGGCCUAAAGCGUUCGUAGCAGGUCAGGUAAAUCUUUUGUGAAAUCGUUGGGCUCAACCUAACGGCGUGCAGAAGACACUGCCAGACUAGAGACCGGGAGGAGUUGGAGGUAUUCUUGGGGGAGCGGUAAAAUGCUAUAAUCCCUAGAGGACCACCUGUGGCGAAGGCGUCCAACUAGAACGGGUCUGACUGUGAGGAACGAAAGCCAGGGGAGCAAACCGGAUUAGAUACCCCGGUA